GCCUCACUGAGGUUUGAUGGUGCCCUGAAUGUGGAUGUGACCGAGUUCCAGACCAACCUGGUGCCUUACCCUAGGAUCCACUUUAUGCUUUCCUCUUAUGCUCCUGUUAUCUCGGCUGAGAAAGCCUACCAUGAGCAGCUGUCCGUGGCUGAAAUCACUAACAGUGCCUUUGAACCGUCUUCCAUGAUGGCUAAGUGCGAUCCUCGCCAUGGCAAGUACAUGGCCUGCUGCCUCAUGUACCGUGGUGACGUUGUGCCCAAGGAUGUCAAUGCUGCUGUGGCCACUAUCAAGACCAAGCGCACCAUUCAAUUUGUGGACUGGUGCCCUACUGGGUUCAAGUGCGGUAUCAACUACCAGCCGCCUACUGUGGUUCCCGGUGGUGACCUUGCCAAGGUGCAGAGAGCUGUGUGCAUGAUUUCCAACUCGACCAGUGUGGCCGAGGUCUUCUCUCGGAUCGAUCACAAGUUUGAUC
This 472-nucleotide long non-coding RNA is filed under the name Eucalyptus grandis. RNAcentral describes it as "long non-coding RNA (EGRA_LNC003735)". The record is from RNAcentral. Lineage: Eukaryota; Viridiplantae; Streptophyta; Magnoliopsida; Myrtales; Myrtaceae.